UUCUGCAAGCCUGAGGACUGAGGGUGCAGUAUGAUAGAGUCAGGGCGGCCAUGCGUCGUGUAGACACCGUUGGGAUGGCAUCACGUUUGGUCCAGUUUGGGACGGACGCUGUUGUCCCGCUUCAACACAGCUGGACAUAAGCAGUGCCUAAUGAGUCGGCUUCUGCUGACAUUCUGCUCAAGUAAAUCAUGUAUUUCAAAAUAUGCAGGAGGAUGCCCCUUGAGGACUGUAUUUGGACAUAUCAAACCAUUUUUGUGACCAGGUUUAGUGAUAAUGAUUGAAUAUUUUCUGUUUUUUCAGGUACAACAUUGUUAUCUUUGGUGGCAUUGAUGGUUUUUUUUGAAAGAUAAUGUGUCUUGGUGCAACUUCCAACAACCUGGCAUCUACCACACUGGCUUUCUUUCAGGGUUCAGUGGAGGAGUUUGGUUUCCUCUUUCAGGCUUUCAGUCCAUUUUCAUCUGAAAUUAAAUGAAGAUAAAACAGAAAUUUUUGCCAAGUAUGAAAGAUUACAAGUCAGCAUUCAACUUCAUGCAAUAAUAUAAAUUAGCAGCAGGCAAGUUAGAAAUCUGGGGGUGGUUCUGGACUCAGACCUGAAUUUUAACCGUCACAUUAGUAUUAAGGUCAGCCUAAUCCCACCUGAAAAACAUAUCAAGGGUUAGGGGACUGAUGUCUCAGCAGGAUUUACAAAAACAUGUCUGCUCUUUUAUUUUCAGUAGACUACAACAGUCACAUGGUUUUAUAAGUCCAAAUCGCUGCAGUUUGUUCAGAACACUGGCUUCCUCUCUGUCGUAGAAUAGAUUUGAAAAUUUAGCUGUUGGUUUAUAAAUUUCUGAAUGGGUGAGGGCCAAAAUACAUUUAUGAACCAACUAGAAUCCAAAGGUCAUCAGGGUCAUCCUUACUCUCUGCAUUCAGAGUUCGAAUCAGAGCGAGACAGCAUUCAAUUUAUAUGCUUGUCACCUGUGGAAUUUAGUCCAUGAUUGAUCAUGAUCAUUUAUCUAUCUCCAAAAUAUGUUUUAGGUUGGAAAGAAUUUUUUAGCUCUGUUCAAACUUCUCAUCAAUGCAGUGCUGUACUUUUAUGUAAUUGUGGAAAUUUUUAAUCCGUUCCAUAUUUUGUUUUGAGGGUACGUGCUGAUCAAGGGGUGGAAAACGUGGAGGUUGCAUGUGUCAUGUUUAUGGUUCGUGGGACAGGAAGAAGCAGCUUCAUAUCUGGAAAGUGUUCACAAUCAAAGGAUUGAGCGACUGUGGAGAGACCUGUGGGCAGCUGUGACAUGCACUUAUGAUGAUGUGCUUCACUACCUUGAAGGGGGUACCUCAACAUUUCAAAUGUUGCACACCUCUUCUGUUGCCAUUAUGGCUUCCUGCCACGGCUGCAGGAUGAUCUGGAUACUUUGCGCAGUGGCUGGGACAACCAUCCACUUUGAACUGAAAGUAACAUGACUCCUAACUUGACAGAGAUACAUUUUAAUUGUGUACAGAUUCCACAAAUCAAAUGGGAAGACAGCGGGCUUCCUCUGCAGAAUGUGUCAAGUGUCAGUGCCGAACUCCAAUUUGGAACUGACUUAUGAACAUAUGUCAGCUUUAAGGGAUGCAGUCAACCCCAGAGCUACAUUUCAGUCUUUUGGCUGUGAAAUUUACAUUGCUGCAGUUCAGUUUUGUGAAGUUUUUUAUACUUUAAAAGUUGCUCCUGCAGGAACCACUUCCUGGAAGUCAACACGCCAGCAGUACCCGAGGAAGUGGUGCGCCACCCUUGCCAGGAGAGUCCAGUCAGUUGGUACACAUUCACCAGUGACCCCAGAGGGGAGUGCGUAAUCGUAGACUGCGUAGGGAAUGACGGAGAGAUGAUGGCGCACGCAUUUAAGUCACUGCACUUCAAUGUGACCCUGCAUAUAUGGCUAAAGCUGGUCGAGACCGUUUCUAUGCUCAGAAAAGUCUUCCGAAGGAGUCCGGACCGCUGCGGCGACGCCUUCGUCUACUGCAUCAUCAGCCGGGCGACCGACAAUCUCCUCCAGGCCACGAACACGAACUGCGAAGGUCUCCGUCUGGAAGAUGUCCGCCGCUUUUUCAACGCCGACGCCUGUCCGGCGCUGGUCGGCAAGCCGAAACUGUUCUUCAUCCAGAGCUACACUGUGUCAGAGUUGCAACCCUGCGCUGUGGAGAACCGCUGGGAUGACAGACAACAGCAGCACUCACAAUCACAACUUGGGGCAAUUUAGAGUGUCCAAUUAAUGUUGCAUGUUUUUGGGAUGUGGGAGGAAACCGGAAUGCCCGGAGGAAACUUACGCAGGCACGGGGAGAACAUGCAAACUCCACGCAGGUGGGGCCGGGAUCGAACACGGGUCCUCAGAACUGUGAGGUCAAAUAAAGUUCACCCGUAAAGGUCACGGGAGUCGACAUCUGCUCGAUCUUCACGUGGAGGUGAAUGGCGCAAUCUUGGAGCACAACAGCCGGCAUCCUGAGGAUCAGUACCACAUAGACCUUUAUUUGUAGUUGUCUGACGACUUGCCUGUUUAAUAGCUGUCAGUAUUUGCACUUCAAUCUAUCUAACAAUGAAAAUACAGUACUUACGAUACUACUGUAUUCAGAUGAGCUUUUUUUACAUCGAUAUAUCUUGUUUUAUAUUUACCACGUGUGUCUACCUUGCACAGUGCAGCUAAAAACAUUUGUCGAGUUUCAUACUAGUAUUGCUCCACUGUACACGACAAUGAUUUGCAGUUGUGCCUCUCCUGUCUUUUUUAAUAAAUGAGAUACACAAUGUAAAAAUA
Long non-coding RNA from Syngnathoides biaculeatus (alligator pipefish), 2762 nucleotides. RefSeq lists it as uncharacterized. The transcript has 8 exons. NCBI's taxonomy places the organism in Eukaryota, Metazoa, Chordata, Actinopteri, Syngnathiformes, Syngnathidae. The record is from RefSeq and is a predicted model, not a curated record.